Molecule: long non-coding RNA, 221 nt
Filed under: Erythranthe guttata (spotted monkey flower)
Lineage: Eukaryota; Viridiplantae; Streptophyta; Magnoliopsida; Lamiales; Phrymaceae
Description: long non-coding RNA (EGUT_LNC002877)
Source: RNAcentral
UCGAGGAGAGAGAGGGGUUGAGUAAUGUUUGUGUUUGUUGGCGGUUGAAUUGGGGUGGUUGUGGGCGGUGGAUUUGCAGAAGGUGGUGCUCCGUUUGUAUACAUCUACCGGUACUCUGAGAAAUUGUCCCGGUCGGACGGCGGACAGAUGAAGCGGAGGUGGUGGCUGAGUUGGGCGGCGCGGGGGAAGUGACGAGGCGGGCGGCGAAGCGGAGGUGGUGG